UUAGUCCGUUCAUUGUUUUUCAGUCUUGUUUGAUUUUCACAGACGUUCUAAUUUUUAACAGUGUUUGUUUUAUAUUCAUAUGUGUUCAUUCCUUAACUGCAGUGUAAAUCGUAUCUCUAUUUCAGACCAGCUUCGAUGUGCCUCACAAGUUGAUCUUGUCUCCGCUGUCAUUAAAACUCAUUAAAUAUUUUAGAAAACCCAUUUAAUGCAUAAAAAGCAUCUAGCGGAGAUUGUACCCCUCACGUUUCAAAACCAGCCUCCUGAUUUCUGUAAAAGAUAGACAGGAACAUGGGCAGGAUGUUUAUACAGCAGAAUGUAAACAUUUUCCCUAGCCUUCUUUAAAUAAAAAAUCAAGCAAAAGCCUGGUUAGAUCAGCUAAUACUCAAACUGAUGCAUCUGCUCGCAGUGCCUUCUGUUGGACUUUUUUCUUUUUCUCUUUUUUGUUUUUAACAACUGAAUAUUGUUUGUGUAAUGCAGUCGUAAUAUUUACGCAGGGACGCGGGAGGAGUGAGGCGGAGGAUCAGCCGAACUGUGCGCACAGAAACUCGGAUGGGGACUUGGGAUCGACUCCUCAGAUAGUUAAAUGACCCAGGAUUCGAGGGAAGGAAAAGAUGCAGGCUCAUCUCCACUGCAUUCUUUCCAUUUAGCUCAAGAGCAGCGUGGUAGAAAAGGCUGGAGUGGGCAGGCACCCGGGUUUGGCCACAGGAAGCUGUGAAUUCUUUGGAGAAUGGAAGAUGUCUCAUGGGGAGACGUACUGGCCCCCCACCCGCCCACAAACCACCCCAAAAUGACCCCUGACCUUUUCAUGUGUUUAUAUCAGACCAUGGAAGUGAGAAAUAGUGAUGAGUCACUCUGGUUGUGUGUUUACACCCCAGAGUCACGCAAGGAAGGAAAUCAGCCACGGUCUGCUAAAAGUGGCGAGGUGAGAGAGAGAAUAGCUGCUGUGAUUUACCUCUUGGACCCAGAACUUAUUUCACGUCAUCUGCUGAAAAAACUUUCAACCAACACAGAACAGCAGCGGUAGCAGCACCGAGGACUGCAGUUGAAGAAAAAAGCACAUACCAAAACAUGUAAAUGGUACAGUUGUAGGUGUGUGUCUGCGGUCCUGCUGCUACCAUACCAAUUAUUUCAGCAGGAUAACUCGUAUGUAAUAAUUAAUCUGAAUGAGCAACAUUUCUUUAUUUGUUUAGUUCCUUUCUAAAGCAAUCAUGCCUCUAAGCAUCUUUAUUCUAAAGAAAAUGGAUUCAAUUUGAUCCCUGUACGCUUCAAAGUGUAUUUUUUAUCGAAAAAAGAGGGCAUUGCUCAAUUUAACUAACCGCUUUGGGAUAUUGGAAUGAGAUUAUUUACAAUAAUGAUUAAUUAGUUGAAAGAAAUAAUCAUAGAUUUUAAGAGCCUUAUUUUGAUUAAUUGAGUAUAUACCAGCAGAACUUUAUCUUCCUGUAUGUAAUAUGAAUUUUGUCUGACAUUGUAUCAAUGAUAGCUAUUAGACAGGUUCCACCAUGAAAAAAGUAUUACUUAUCAAUAAUUAUAUUAUUACAAGUGGAUUUUAUUAGAGAAAUUCAUUAAGAGUUGUAAUGACUGCAGAGAUAAACAGUCACUGUAAUGUUAAAACAGGCAGUAUAGAUUGUGACUGAUAACAAAGAGGCAGAGAUGUUGCUGAAGUCAUUGUAUACGCCUCUGAAAUUGAUUUGACAUCUUCAGCAUGCCCAUAUUUAACAACAAGACAGGUGAUUGUAUCCUUUAGGAAAAUUAAAUAUUCUGAGGAUAUGCUCAUAAUAUUAGUGUUAUUGUGUGUUUUUCUGUUUUUAUGAGUGUUUUUAUUUAUGUGCCAUUGAUGUAUAAAUCACACUUGAUUGUAUUGUGAUGUGCUCUUGGGGGCUUGUUGUAUCCUGUGAGAAGUCUUCACUGUGGCUUUCAUUAUACUUUCAAACACUGUGUCAUGGAUCCCAAAUUGCACAACUGUUGUUUUCAACGUGAAGCUGAAGUUCUUGCAUUUGCAUUCAAUAAAUAAAAGAGACUUUCUUUCUUUUCAUUGCUAAACUGGUGCUAGUAGCUUCAUUGCAGACUGCAGUGAGUAUCCUUUUACACACCCCCAUACACAUCGCCACAAUGAGAGAGUCAGCAGCUUUUAUUUUGGCCGAUUUCUUCUGAAUUGUAAGUGCUGUCAAGGGCUUUGAUGGAUAGUUGUGUUUAUCACCAUAUUAUUAAGUAAUCAGGCUCACCACAGCCGGGCCUGAAGCUCCUUAAUUCCAGCUGAAGCACACAGCUUCAUGCUAAUUAAAGGUUUGCUAAACCAGUUUAUUUUUGUGAAUUUUUUAGAAUAUAGAUGUCUGUUUUUAAGUGUGUAGAGUGUGCUGAUUGUUGCAUUUGCAUUCUGCCUGGAGCAUUUAGCGCCAAUGUUCAGGGUAGUGCCAUCAUCAGACCGAUCAGAGGUAGUUACACAGACAAUCUAUUAUUCUACAUUGCUGUAAAACUUGCAAAAGGUCAGUUUAUGUGCAAACAGAAAAAUCUAGUCAGAACACGAAAAAGGUCAGUCAGACUAUGUUGUUUGGAUCAGCAGAGAUUUCUUCUCGCUUCGUUAAUAGAGCCUGCGGCGGGCUGCGUUUGUGUAUUUCUGAGGUAAACACAGUCAUGGCAAAGUGGACUCGAUGCUGAGUGUGUCCUGACUGGAGACAGAGAGCACUGUGGCACAGUACUUUCUGAGACACUGGCAGCUCUCUAGAGGCAGGGUUAAUGUGAUGAAUGACCAUCUUUUAAUGGGCCAUUUAUUAAGGUGAAACAGCUCUUUUAAAAACUGGAGCUUGAGACACUGGUAUGACCAGUUUCAGUGAGAAAUUAGUCAGGUGGCAGAUGUUUUAUGAUGGAGCAAUUCUGCCCUGCUCUUGCUUUUAACCAAAUGAGGGAAGAAUUGCUUGAGUGACUGCAUAUAGGAAUCACAUAUAGCUAUAACUUUAUGAAUUUAAAACCACAACUGACUUCAAACCAUGAUCCACGGAUUAGUUUCUCUUUUAAUCUUUACCACUUUAUAUAUAUAUAUAUAUCAUAUAACUUUUCAGCCAUCAACGAGAAGCUGCUAAUUGUAGAAAUUACUCCACAAGAAUAAUUAAUCAGAGUGUAAAUAAACUUUUAUGAAGUGAAAAGCAAAAGGUGGAAGGAAGGUAUUUUUUUUUAGUUUUAAACAGAUUUUCAUAUUCAACAUAAAUAUGCUGCUAAAGAUCUGUGAUUUGAUUAUAAUGGUGUUCAGGUUUUAUCCUUCCCAUAUUUCCUCCUACCAUUUCUAUUUUUUGAUGCUUUACAUUGUAGCAAAAAUAAAUAAAUAA
Long non-coding RNA from Melanotaenia boesemani (Boeseman's rainbowfish), 3320 nucleotides. RefSeq lists it as uncharacterized. NCBI's taxonomy places the organism in Eukaryota, Metazoa, Chordata, Actinopteri, Atheriniformes, Melanotaeniidae. The transcript is spliced from 3 exons. The record is from RefSeq and is a predicted model, not a curated record.